UUUUGUUCGUUCGGCUCGCGUGA
Molecule: non-coding RNA, 23 nt
Filed under: Gallus gallus (chicken)
Lineage: Eukaryota; Metazoa; Chordata; Aves; Galliformes; Phasianidae
Also listed under: 3 other names
Source: RNAcentral